UGCUGGUGUGGCUCAACGGUAGAGCAGCUGACUUGUAAUCAGCACUCCCACCUUCACGGGUAACAGGGGUUCAAUUCCCCUACGAGUCACCA
Molecule: transfer RNA, 92 nt
Filed under: Clostridioides difficile
Lineage: Bacteria; Bacillati; Bacillota; Clostridia; Peptostreptococcales; Peptostreptococcaceae
Description: tRNA-Thr
Rfam family: tRNA
About the family: Transfer RNA (tRNA) molecules are approximately 80 nucleotides in length. Their secondary structure includes four short double-helical elements and three loops (D, anti-codon, and T loops).
Source: RNAcentral